Molecule: ribosomal RNA, 778 nt
Filed under: uncultured Neocallimastigales
Lineage: Eukaryota; Fungi; Neocallimastigomycota; Neocallimastigomycetes; Neocallimastigales
Description: partial large subunit ribosomal RNA
Rfam family: Eukaryotic large subunit ribosomal RNA
Source: RNAcentral
CGUCUAUAUACGUAUAGCAUAUCAAUAAGCGGAGGAAAAGAAACUAACUAGGAUUCCCUCAGUAACGGCGAGUGAAGCGGGAAGAGCUCAAAUUUGAAAUCUUCAAGGUUCUACCUUGACGAAUUGUAGUUUAAAGAAGUGUUUUCUGUUGGAGUUUUGGUAAAAGUUCUUUGGAAUAGGACAUCAUAGAGGGUGAGAAUCCCGUAUUUGACCAUUAUUUCCAACUUUGUGAUACACUUUCAAAGAGUCGGAUUGUUUGGGAAUGCAGUCCAAAAUGGGUGGUAAAUUUCAUCUAAAGCUAAAUACUGGCGAGAGACCGAUAGCGAACAAGUACCGUGAGGGAAAGAUGAAAAGAACUUUGAAAAGAGAGUUAAACAGUACGUGAAAUUGUCAAAAGGGAAGCGUUUGACAUCAGUGUUGUUUAGUUCGAAAAUCAAUUCAUGAUGGUUUGAUUGUGAGUAGUAAUUGACUUCAUCAGCUUACUGCUCUCGUUUUCUGUAUUAUGUGAAUGCACUUUUCAGUUAACAAGUCAACAUCAAUUUCUUUUGUUGUAAAAGGGUAAGAGGAAGGUGGCUUACAGCUUCGCGUGAAGUGUUUAUAGCCUUUUACCUCUGCAAUCGGAGAGAUUGAGGUCUGCAGCGUAGAUCCUUCGGGGUUAGAUACACUUGUGCUAAGCUAUAGCCUUGUAUAGACAACUUGUUGACUAUGCUCAGUCAUGUAGCUUACUCGCUUGUGCUAUAUUACCUACGCUUAGGAUGUUGAUAGUCACAGCGUGUAC